UACUCGUAUGUUUUCGCUCCAAAUCUCACACUCCAGCAAAUCGCUCAAAUCCCCAAUUCGACUCCAGCAAAUCGGUCUUCCCUUCACCAAAUCACCACUCCGGCAAAUCAACAAAUCAAUUAAGUGUGAAAUUGCACCAAAUCUCAAACCCUCCCCUACUUGUACGACCGCCGCUCCAGCCCCCCUCCGGCCGCCGCCGCUCUCCCCGCCCCAUCUCCUUCGAUCGACAGCCCGCCGCCCUCACCUAGCCUUUCGUCGCCGCCCCAGCCUUUUACGGCCGCCGCUCCAGCCCCCUCCGGCCGCCGCCGCUCUCCCCGCCCCAUCUCCUUCGAUCGACAGCCCGCCGCCCUGACCUAGCCUUUCGUCGCCGCCCCAGCCUUCUACGGCCGCCGCUCCAGCCCCCUCCGGCCGCCGCCGCUCUCCCCGCCCCGUCUCCUUCGAUCGACAGCCCACCGCCCUCACCUAGCCUUUCCCGGAUGACUCCGCAGCAGCAGCAGCAGUUUCCAACGCCCAAGUUCCCAUCAAAAGGAGGAAGCUUCAGCGAUCAAGUCGGCUAGCAAAUCAUGGUACAAGACCAUGAUCUCGGAUAGUGACUACACAGAAUUUGAGAACUUCACAAAGUGGUUGGGUGUGUCUCAGUGAUUCAAAUCUUGAUUUAACUUAGUUAUAGUCUUUAUAUUAAUCUUGAACUCUUUUACUGUUUUUUGCCAUAUACUUGUAUUCUGUAUAUAUCUCAACUUCAUGCUUAUGUUGUUAGGUCAUAGUAUUCUUAUAACCUGUAGAUGGAUGUCUAAUCUUUUGCUUUAAGAAGAUUUUCCUUUCCCAUGAAGAUUACAUGCUUUCAUUUUGAUUAUUUCUUGAACCCAGAGGAAGAUUAACUGAAGUUACUAAGAGAAAACUUGUUGGAAACAAUGAAACCAAAACAUAGAUUUUUUCAAGUUAUUGUAUGUUUGUGAGUGAUCUGCCAGUCCAACCAACCACCACCCAUUUGUAUAUAGAUUUAAGAGCUUUAUAUUCUGAUGAAGAUGAUAGCAGGAUCUCAAUGUAGCUGUAGUAGGAUUGUGAAUGGAUGAUUCGAGAUGUUGUUCUGGAAAUUCUAGUUCUGCAUCUUGCUUUAAUUAUUUAAGUAAUAGGAUUGCAGUCUCAUUAUGCUGCUAAAUGCUGAUUAUUUCUGUACAAUAUGGUCCUCUUUUAGGAAUAAGAAUACUGCAGGAUGUUCUGAUUUUCUAGACCUGAUGUUGCAUCUAUAUUGUUCUUAUGAUAGAGCUUCAACACUUAAGGAACAGUCUCCCAACAAAUUUUUAGUUUCUUUACAUGGCACAUAGUAUAAGCAUAGUAUAAGCAUAGAAAAAACAAUCAAUAUCAGAGAACCGCGAUACUGAGGUAAACUGCAAGUGCUUUCAUGUAUUUGCACUAUGCUCCAUUGUGAUAAGUAUUCUCAAUGUGUACAUGUGUACGAAUAAUUCUCACAGAUAAAGAAGGAAUCUGGGUUUAGAGAUUCAUCUUACCUGCCUUGCGAAGACCAUGAGCGAGCUGAUGAGGAUGUGGAUAUUGGUGGAAAUGAUUCGCCUCCAAUUUCCAGUUCACCUCCAAUUUGGAUUGAUAAGGAUGAUGCUGAAAGGAAUAGUAACUGCAGUGGUUCAAGAAGCUCCAGUAGUGAAUCAGGCACCUCAUCUACUGGUGGCAAUAACAGUUAGCAGGAAGAUAGGAAGCUAGAUGUGGCAUUUUGGUUGGUGUUUUGUAUGUCUUUUGAAUCUAGAAAAAUGUAAGAAUUUGGUGAAGCAAGAGUUGAACACCAUUUUUUUUGUUAAUAUUGUUUGGAUGUAAAUUACAUGACUACUUUUGGUACUUGGAAGCUACAAUGUAUGGAAGUUUAAGUUAUGUUAUAUAAUAUGUUUUGGAUUGUAUUA
This is a long non-coding RNA of Salvia miltiorrhiza (redroot sage), 1910 nucleotides long. RefSeq lists it as uncharacterized. Lineage: Eukaryota; Viridiplantae; Streptophyta; Magnoliopsida; Lamiales; Lamiaceae. The record is from RefSeq and is a predicted model, not a curated record. The transcript is spliced from 5 exons.